This 225-nucleotide long non-coding RNA is filed under the name Phaseolus vulgaris (common bean). RNAcentral describes it as "long non-coding RNA (PVUL_LNC005097)". Lineage: Eukaryota; Viridiplantae; Streptophyta; Magnoliopsida; Fabales; Fabaceae. The record is from RNAcentral.
CACAAGCAAGGCUAGGGCGAGGAUGAAUGAGCAACUUGUCGUGGUGGAGGCCCAGAUGAAGGAAGAGCUGGCCCUGACGGAGGGGAGGAAACAAGAUGAGCUUGCCCAACAGGCUCGGGCCUUCGCCACUCGUGAGAUCGCCCUGACCCAAGAGCUGAGCUGCCUGCGCCAGUCAAAGAAAGAUACCAAGAGGCAGCUCUUCGAUAAAAGUCAAGAGGCUAUCCA